GGGGACUUAGCUCAGCUGGAAGAGCACCUGCUUUGCAAGCAGGGGGUCAGGGGUUCGAGUCCCCUAGUCUCCAC
This 74-nucleotide transfer RNA is filed under the name Phytomonospora endophytica. Its description in RNAcentral is "tRNA-Ala". It matches the Rfam family "tRNA". Rfam says of the family: Transfer RNA (tRNA) molecules are approximately 80 nucleotides in length. Lineage: Bacteria; Bacillati; Actinomycetota; Actinomycetes; Micromonosporales; Micromonosporaceae. The record is from RNAcentral.